RNAcentral lists this transfer RNA (76 nucleotides) under Clostridia bacterium. Its description in RNAcentral is "tRNA-Pro". It matches the Rfam family "tRNA". From Rfam's summary of the family: Transfer RNA (tRNA) molecules are approximately 80 nucleotides in length. Their secondary structure includes four short double-helical elements and three loops (D, anti-codon, and T loops). Lineage: Bacteria; Bacillati; Bacillota; Clostridia. The record is from RNAcentral.
CCGGGUGUAGCUCAGUUGGUAGAGCGCGCGGUUUGGGACCGCGAGGCCGCUGGAUCGUGCCCAGUCACUCGGACCA